RNAcentral lists this ribosomal RNA (253 nucleotides) under uncultured bacterium. Its description in RNAcentral is "partial 16S ribosomal RNA". It matches the Rfam family "Bacterial small subunit ribosomal RNA", at positions 524 to 776 of the family's 1533-position model. The record is from RNAcentral.
UACGUAGGGUGCGAGCGUUGUCCGGAAUUAUUGGGCGUAAAGAGCUUGUAGGCGGUUUGUCGCGUCUGCCGUGAAAAUCCGGGGCUCAACCCCGGACUUGCGGUGGGUACGGGCAGGCUAGAGUGUGGUAGGGGAGACUGGAAUUCCUGGUGUAGCGGUGAAAUGCGCAGAUAUCAGGAGGAACACCGAUGGCGAAGGCAGGUCUCUGGGCCACUACUGACGCUGAGAAGCGAAAGCGUGGGGAGCGAACAGG